GCCCCGGUGGCGGAAUUGGUAGACGCGUUGGUCUCAAAAACCAAUGAGUGUGAGCUCGUGCCGGUUCGAUCCCGGCCCGGGGUACGA
This 87-nucleotide transfer RNA is filed under the name Lentimicrobium saccharophilum. Its description in RNAcentral is "tRNA-Leu". It matches the Rfam family "tRNA". Rfam says of the family: Transfer RNA (tRNA) molecules are approximately 80 nucleotides in length. The record is from RNAcentral. Lineage: Bacteria; Pseudomonadati; Bacteroidota; Bacteroidia; Bacteroidales; Lentimicrobiaceae.